GAUGAACGCUGGCGGCGUGCCUAAUACAUGCAAGUCGAGCGAACGGACGAGAAUCUUGCUUCUCUCAUGUUAGCGGCGCACGGGUGAGUAACACGUGGAUACCCUACCUAUAAGACUGAUAUCACUUCGGGAAACCGGCGCUAAUACCGGAUGAUCUCUUGAACCGCAUGGGUCAAUAGUGAAAGACGGCCUUGCUGUCACUUCUCGAUGGAUCCGCGCUGCAUUAGCUAGUUGUUAAGGUCACGGCUUACGACGGCAACGAUGCAUGGCCGACCGGAGAGGGUGAUCGGCCACACUGGAGGUGAGACACGGUCCAGGCUACUACGGGAGGCAGCAGUAGGGAACCGUCCGCAAUGGGCGGAAGUCUGACGGAGCAACGGCGAGUGAGUGAUGAAGGUCUUCGGAGCGGAAAGCUCGGUUAUUAGGUAAGAACAGAUGUGGAAGUAACUGUGCACAUCUUGACGGUACCUAAUCAGAAAGCCACGGCUAACUACGUG
This 497-nucleotide ribosomal RNA is filed under the name uncultured bacterium. RNAcentral describes it as "partial 16S ribosomal RNA". It matches the Rfam family "Bacterial small subunit ribosomal RNA", at positions 28 to 507 of the family's 1533-position model. The record is from RNAcentral.